Molecule: ribosomal RNA, 405 nt
Filed under: uncultured bacterium
Lineage: Bacteria
Description: bacterial SSU rRNA
Rfam family: Bacterial small subunit ribosomal RNA
Source: RNAcentral
GACGAACGCUGGCGGCGUGCUUAACACAUGCAAGUCGAGCGGAAAGGCCCUUUCGGGGGUACUCGAGCGGCGAACGGGUGAGUAACACGUGAGUAAUCUGCCCUUGGCUUUGGGAUAACCACCGGAAACGGUGGCUAAUACCGGAUAUGACGGGCUCCGGCAUCGGGGUUCGUGGAAAGUUUUUUCGGCCAGGGAUGUGCUCGCGGCCUAUCAGCUUGUUGGUGGGGUAAUGGCCUACCAAGGCUUCGACGGGUAGCCGGCCUGAGAGGGUGACCGGCCACACUGGGACUGAGACACGGCCCAGACUCCUACGGGAGGCAGCAGUGGGGAAUAUUGGACAAUGGGCGGAAGCCUGAUCCAGCAACGCCGCGUGAGGGAUGACGGCUCGGUGUAACGUACUUCUAG